Podarcis raffonei (Aeolian wall lizard) is the source of this 1064-nucleotide long non-coding RNA. RefSeq lists it as uncharacterized. The record is from RefSeq and is a predicted model, not a curated record. Lineage: Eukaryota; Metazoa; Chordata; Lepidosauria; Squamata; Lacertidae. The transcript has 4 exons.
UUCAGAUUAGAAGUUGCAAGCUUCCAAAAUCCGGCUGGCCUUUUCUGUUGAGCCAGCAUUCUUACAAGUUGCUCUAAGCCACUUGUUUGGAAAAGGGAAAGAAGAUUUAACAAAUUGGAGAUUUGGGUGCUAUCAAAGUCAGUAUGCUGUGCCUCGUUCUGCCAUGAGAUGGAAACUCCCUCCGGGCAGGGAGAUGAAGAGUCAUGGGACGGCUAAAGGAUUACCUUCGAAAAGAGUCAUGAGACUGGUUUGAACAAAGAAUCAACUCACAUGCUUAUCAUAUGAGACACUCUUCUUAAAGUGAGGAUUCUGGUGGACUUUAGAAAGACUGGGAGUCCUAGCCUUUAGAAGAGAUUAAACAACUCUGUAAGCAAUAGAAAGGAAAGUGGGACAAAAGCUUAAACUUUCAUUCUGGUUAUCUCUGUUCAGUGUCCACCAUCUUUCCAUUCUUCCAAGUAAAAUGUUCCGCGGAAUAACAGGCCUGUGAGGUAGGUUAGGCUAAGAGAUAGUGACUGGCCCAAGGGCAUCCAGUGAGCUGAGUGGGUAUUUCAAAUCCUUUUUGCUCAAAAAUGAAGAAAAGGGGGGAAUGAUAUAUUUAUUAUGAAGUAUUCCUAAAUACCCACAACAAAGAAACACAAGGUUGCUUUUAAACUGCAGACAUACCUCAGAGAUCUUGCGGGUUUGGUUUCCGACCUCCACAAUACAGUAUAGCAAAUAUCACAGUAAAGUGAGAAAGUUGUUUCCCAGGGCAUUUGAACGUUAUAUUUCCAAGACAGUGCAGUCUGUUAAGCCAGGCCACCCUGGCUGCAGAGGAGGAGGGGGGAACCCGGCUCCAGCCCUCGCCAGCUCCACUCCCAUGGCCAGAAGAGGGGCGGCAGUCGGGGUGUGGGAGGCUGGGCUGCUGCAGCUGCACCCGUGUCCUUGUGAGGAGCAUUAUCUGCAAAGCACAAUAAAACGAGGGUCAAAAAGCUUGGAUAGAAAAAACCUUUUUCAAGAGGGAGUGUAUCUACAUAAUUGCCAACAGCAAAGAUGCUACCAGGUGCUGCUGUGGCCAGCUUCUUACA